Molecule: ribosomal RNA, 224 nt
Filed under: uncultured bacterium
Lineage: Bacteria
Description: partial 16S ribosomal RNA
Rfam family: Bacterial small subunit ribosomal RNA
Source: RNAcentral
ACGCUCGACACCUACGGGAGGAGCAGUAGGGAAUCUUCCACAAUGGACGGCAAGUCUGAUGGAGCAACGCCGCGUGAGUGAAGAAGGUUUUCGGAUCGUAAAGCUCUGUUGUUGGUGAAGAAGGAUAGAGGUAGUAACUGGCCUUUAUUUGACGGUAAUCAACCAGAAAGUCACGGCUAACUACGUGCCAGUAGCCGCGGUAAUCUGAGCGGGCGUGGCAAGGC